Molecule: ribosomal RNA, 380 nt
Filed under: uncultured eukaryote
Lineage: Eukaryota
Description: partial 18S ribosomal RNA
Rfam family: Eukaryotic small subunit ribosomal RNA
Source: RNAcentral
CAAUAGCGUAUAUUAAAGUUGUUGCGGUUAAAAAGCUCGUAGUUGGAUUUCUGUUGGGAACGACCGGUCCGCCCAUUGGGUGUGUAUCUGGCUUGUUCUCGGCAUCUUCUUGGUGAACGUUGCUGCACUUGACUGUGUGGAGCGCUACCCAGGACUUUUACUUUGAGGAAAUUAGAGUGUUUCAAGCAGGCAUAUGCCUUGAAUACAUCAGCAUGGAAUAAUAAGAUAGGACCUCGGUUCUAUUUUGUUGGUUUCUAGAGCUGAGGUAAUGAUUAAUAGGGAUAGUUGGGGGCAUUCGUAUUUAACUGUCAGUGGUGAAAUUCUUGGAUUUGUUAAAGACGGACUACUGCGAAAGCAUUUGCCAAGGAUGUUUUCAUUGA